UGGCGGGACGGGGUGGAGUAAUGUCUGGGAAACUGCCUGAUGGAGGGGGAUAACUACUGGAAACGGUAGCUAAUACCGCAUAACGUCGCAAGACCAAAGAGGGGGACCUUAGGGCCUCUUGCCAUCGGAUGUGCCCAGAUGGGAUUAGCUAGUAGGUGGGGUAAAGGCUCACCUAGGCGACGAUCCCUAGCUGGUCUGAGAGGAUGACCAGCCACACUGGAACUGAGACACGGUCCAG
Molecule: ribosomal RNA, 238 nt
Filed under: uncultured bacterium
Lineage: Bacteria
Description: partial 16S ribosomal RNA
Rfam family: Bacterial small subunit ribosomal RNA
Source: RNAcentral